This 253-nucleotide ribosomal RNA is filed under the name uncultured bacterium. RNAcentral's name for it is "partial 16S ribosomal RNA". It matches the Rfam family "Bacterial small subunit ribosomal RNA", at positions 524 to 776 of the family's 1533-position model. The record is from RNAcentral.
UACGUAGGGGGCAAGCGUUGUCCGGAUUUAUUGGGCGUAAAGAGCUCGUAGGCGGUUUGUUGCGUCGGCUGUGAAAUCCCGAGGCUCAACCUCGGGUCUGCAGUCGAUACGAGCAAACUAGAGUGUUGCAGGGGAGACUGGAAUUCCUGGUGUAGCGGUGAAAUGCGCAGAUAUCAGGAGGAACACCGGUGGCGAAGGCGGGUCUCUGGGCAACAACUGACGCUGAGGAGCGAAAGCGUGGGGAGCGAGCAGG